AGACGGAGGUGGCAAGCGUUGCUCGGAUUUAUUGGGUGUAAAGGGCUCGUAGGCGGUUCUGCAAGUCCCUCCUGAAAGGUGGUAGCUCAACUACCACAUGCGGGGGGAUACUGCAAGACUUGAGGGUGAGAGAGGCAAGCGGAAUUCCCGGUGUAAGGGUGAAAUCUGUAGAUAUCGGGAGGAACACCAGUGGCGAAGGCGGCUUGCUGGAUCAUUUCUGACGCUGAGGAGCGAAAGCUAGGGGAGCGAACAGGAUUAGAAACCCGAGUAGUCC
RNAcentral lists this ribosomal RNA (274 nucleotides) under uncultured bacterium. RNAcentral describes it as "partial 16S ribosomal RNA". It matches the Rfam family "Bacterial small subunit ribosomal RNA", at positions 523 to 796 of the family's 1533-position model. The record is from RNAcentral.